CACGCCCGCUGAGCCGCAGGCCCCUGCGGGGCGUCCGCACGGCUCAGCCUUACCACACACCCCCUGAACGACGCAGCCUUGCUGUGGGAAGUCGGGAAGGGAGAUUCUCCGUGGCUUGUAUUUGGAACAUAAACUUAAGAGUCUUUUUAUCAAUCAAAGGGAAGACAGGAAUGGCAGGCUGUAGCAGGUGUGCUUUCUAAGCGCUGUGACCCUAACGCUGUGUCAAAUCCCAGCGGGAGAAAGGAGGGUCUCGGGGACGCCCGCUCGGCCACC
Balaenoptera musculus (blue whale) is the source of this 273-nucleotide long non-coding RNA. RefSeq lists it as uncharacterized. The transcript is spliced from 3 exons. NCBI's taxonomy places the organism in Eukaryota, Metazoa, Chordata, Mammalia, Artiodactyla, Balaenopteridae. The record is from RefSeq and is a predicted model, not a curated record.